This 498-nucleotide ribosomal RNA is filed under the name uncultured bacterium. RNAcentral's name for it is "partial 16S ribosomal RNA". It matches the Rfam family "Bacterial small subunit ribosomal RNA", at positions 30 to 523 of the family's 1533-position model. The record is from RNAcentral.
AUUGAACGCUGGCGGCAUGCCUUACACAUGCAAGUCGAACGGUAACAGGUCUUCGGAUGCUGACGAGUGGCGAACGGGUGAGUAAUACAUCGGAACGUGCCUAGUAGUGGGGGAUAACUACUCGAAAGAGUGGCUAAUACCGCAUGAGAUCUACGGAUGAAAGCAGGGGAUCGCAAGACCUUGUGCUACUAGAGCGGCCGAUGGCAGAUUAGGUAGUUGGUGGGAUAAAAGCUUACCAAGCCGACGAUCUGUAGCUGGUCUGAGAGGGCGAUCAGCCACACUGGGACUGAGAAACGGCCCAGACUCAUACGGGAGGCAGCAGUGGGGAAUUUUGGACAAUGGGCGCAAGCCUGAUCCAGCAAUGCCGCGUGCAGGAUGAAGGCCUUCGGGUUGUAAACUGCUUUUGUACGGAACGAAAAGCCCCGGGUUAAUACCCUGGGGUCAUGACGGUACCGUAAGAAUAAGCACCGGCUAACUACGUGCCAGCAGCCGCGGUAA